RNAcentral lists this ribosomal RNA (201 nucleotides) under uncultured bacterium. Its description in RNAcentral is "partial 16S ribosomal RNA". It matches the Rfam family "Bacterial small subunit ribosomal RNA", at positions 524 to 723 of the family's 1533-position model. The record is from RNAcentral.
UACAGAGGGGGCAAGCGUUUGUUCGGAAUUACUGGGCGUAAAGGGCGCGUAGGCGGCCUUCUAAGUCGAACGUGAAAUCCCCGGGCUCAACCCGGGAACUGCGUCCGAUACUGGAAGGCUUGAAUCCGGGAGAGGGAUGCGGAAUUCCAGGUGUAGCGGUGAAAUGCGUAGAUAUCUGGAGGAACACCGGUGGCGAAGGCG